UCAGACGAUGCGUCAUGCAUAUCAAUAAGCGGAGGAAAAGAAACUAACAAGGAUUCCCCUAGUAACGGCGAGUGAAGCGGGAAGAGCUCAAAUUUGAAAUCUUAAAGGGUUUCCCUUUACGAAUUGUAGUUCAAAGAAGUGCUUUCUGUUGAGGUUUUGGUAAAAGUUCUUUGGAAUAGGACAUCAUAGAGGGUGAGAAUCCCGUAUUUGACCUUUACUUUCAACUUUGUGAUACACUUUCAAAGAGUCGGAUUGUUUGGGAAUGCAGUCCAAAAUGGGUGGUAAAUUUCAUCUAAAGCUAAAUAUUGGCGAGAGACCGAUAGCGAACAAGCUACCGUGAGGGAAAGAUGAAAAGAACUUUGAAAAGAGAGUUAAACAGUACGUGAAAUUGUCAAAAGGGAAGCGUUUGACACCAGUGUUGUUUUUCUGAAAAUCAAUUAAAGAACUGUUUAUGCUAAGUUGUUUAGACUUAAUCAGCUAUCUGUUUAGUUUUGAGCUUUUCUUUAAUGCACUUUUCAGUUAACAAGUCAACAUCAAUUUCUUUUGCUGUAAAAAAGCUUGAGGAAGGUGGCUUGAGAUUCGUCUUAAGUGUUUAUAGCCUCUUGCCUAUGCAGUCGGAGAGAUUGAGGUCUGCAGCGUAGAUCCUUCGGGGCUAAAUGCAUUUGUGCUAAGUUAUAGCAUUUUAUAGACAACUUGUUGACUAUGAUUUGUCUUGUAGCUUACUCGCUUAUGUUAUUUUACCUACGCUUAGGAUGUUGACACACGCGCGUGCUCG
RNAcentral lists this ribosomal RNA (775 nucleotides) under uncultured Neocallimastigales. Its description in RNAcentral is "partial large subunit ribosomal RNA". It matches the Rfam family "Eukaryotic large subunit ribosomal RNA", at positions 18 to 643 of the family's 3401-position model. Lineage: Eukaryota; Fungi; Neocallimastigomycota; Neocallimastigomycetes; Neocallimastigales. The record is from RNAcentral.